This 253-nucleotide unclassified non-coding RNA is filed under the name plant metagenome. RNAcentral describes it as "partial contains small subunit ribosomal RNA, internal transcribed spacer 1, and 5.8S ribosomal RNA". The stretch from base 1 to 52 matches the Rfam family "Eukaryotic small subunit ribosomal RNA", at positions 1778 to 1831 of the family's 1831-position model. The record is from RNAcentral.
GGAAGUAAAAGGUAACAAGGUUUCCGUAGGUGAACCUGCGGAAGGAUCAUUAUUGGAUUUUGAAACUUCAGGCUGCUGCUGGCUCUCCUCGGAGGGCAUGUGCACGCUUGUUGUCCAUUAUUCCUCCCACUGUGCACAAAUUGUAGACCUUUCAGUAGGCCUAUGUUGUUUUUCACAAUCUCUGAAUGUAAUAGAAUGGUUUUGAAUCUUGGGAAAUACAAUACAACUUUCAGCAACGGAUCUCUUGGCUCUC